This 1104-nucleotide unclassified non-coding RNA is filed under the name Hevea brasiliensis (rubber tree). The record is from RNAcentral. Lineage: Eukaryota; Viridiplantae; Streptophyta; Magnoliopsida; Malpighiales; Euphorbiaceae.
UAAAAAAAAAAAAUAUUUAAUCUGUGAGACUUUCAUCUGCAUUGAUAUUACUUCACAUGUGAUGUGGUUUGCAAAAUAGAGCCUAGUAGAGGUUAGGUAAAGGAAGGAACUCAAACCUUUAUUCAGCCUAAUCCUUUAUCCUUCCAUGGUCCCCUCACAAUUCAGCUUAAAAUAAGAACUACAUCAUGUUCAUCACACAAUAGGCAAAUACCCAAAAUUAAAACUAAAACUAAAUCAAAAUUAAAAUCUUCAAGAACUGAAUCAAGAUCAAAACGGUCCCCUCCAGUCUUAUUCAGAUUUAUUCCCUCUAUGGGCCGGAACCAGCGUCUGGGCGGGGCUAUGUAUGGCCACACCCAGGCAAGGCAUAGGCCAAUCCUCUUGGAUAACAAAAAGAUGUGGCGGUGAUUUAAUUGUAGCACGUACGAGAACCAGCCGAUUCAGGGUUUAGCUUUUGUGACGUGUGACUUGUGAAUUGUGAUCCUUCACUUUUGGAAAACACUUUUGAUCUUUGCUUCACAUGAAUUGCUAGAUGAAUCCUCAUUCACCGUAAAGCUACAAAACGUUUGGACCACCCUGCUUCCCUCAAUUAUUUUUCUUCAGUGUGGGACAAACUUUAUAUUCCGUCAACCUAUUCAGCUGCGCUAGCCAAUUAUUUGCUCCCACUUCUAAUUUUUACAGUAACUUAAGAUGUUUAUUAACAAGUUUAAGGUUUACAUUCAAUGUUUAACGCUAAUAUUCUUUGAUGAAUGUGUCGUUGUUUUGGACUUUCAUCUUUGUUUUCAUUUUCAAUGUAGUUGGCAUAUCAAUUACACAAAAGGCACUCAGAUUCAAUACCUUUUUUAAGUGAAGUCAGAUCAAACAACUUCACUUGCCCAUAAUAUAAAACUUAAACUAGUUGGGGAUUACAGUAGAUUGUCAUCUUUCUACUGCAGAUGAGAUCAUAUGGAUAUCAUUUGCAGAUCUUCUUGCUCAGUACUCUUAAAUUUUCUCCUGUCCCGUAUUUUAUUUUCAUAUAACUGAAAUCAGAUUCAAAUUUAAUUGAUCAAAAUCAGCCUUAAAUUAGACUGGAACUAACUAAUUCUGUUCUAUUUUGAAUUAAAAUAA